AUAGACUUCCCAUCGUCACAGUCCGAUGGGCAGAUUGCGACAGUGGGGCGCCU
Molecule: microRNA precursor, 53 nt
Filed under: Oreochromis niloticus (Nile tilapia)
Lineage: Eukaryota; Metazoa; Chordata; Actinopteri; Cichliformes; Cichlidae
Description: microRNA oni-mir-10809 precursor
Source: miRBase by way of RNAcentral